This 903-nucleotide ribosomal RNA is filed under the name uncultured soil bacterium. Its description in RNAcentral is "bacterial SSU rRNA". It matches the Rfam family "Bacterial small subunit ribosomal RNA", at positions 78 to 968 of the family's 1533-position model. The record is from RNAcentral.
CCCUGGACUCUAUAAAAAGGAACCGGCGAACGGGUGCGUAACACGUGAGCGACCUACCGAUUCGUGGGGGAUAGCCGGCCCAACGGCCGGGUAAUACCGCAUACGCCAAGUGGACCGCAUGGUCUGUUUGGGAAACCUCCGGGGCGAAUCGAGGGGCUCGCGGCCUACCAGCUAGUUGGCGGGGUAAUGGCCCACCAAGGCAUCGACGGGUAGCUGGUCUGAGAGGAUGGCCAGCCACAUUGGGACUGAGAAACGGCUCCGACUCCUACGGGAGGCAGCAGUGGGGAAUCUUGCGCAAUGGCCGAAAGGCUGACGCAGCGACGCCGCGUGUGGGAUGAAGCUCUUCGGGGUGUAAACCACUGUUGCCCGGGACGAACGGCGAGAUUUAUCUCGCGUGACGGUACCGGGUGAGGAAGCACCGGCUAACUCCGUGCCAGCAGCCGCGGUAAUACGGAGGGUGCGAGCGUUGUCCGGAAUCACUGGGCGUAAAGGGCGCGUAGGCGGCUCGUGCAAGCGGGCGGUGAAAGCCCGGGGCUCAACCCCGGGUCAGCCGAACGGACUGCGGAGCUGGACCAGACUAGAGGCUCGUGGAAUUCCGGGUGUAGCGGUGGAAUGCGUAGAGAUCCGGAAGAACACCGGUGGCGAAGGCGGCGAGCUGGGGUCUGUGUGACGCUGAUGCGCGACAGCGUGGGGAGCAAACAGGAUUAGAUACCCUGGUAGUCCACGCCGUAAACGAUGGGCACUAGGUGCCCGGGGGAGCGACCCCUCGGGUGCCGUCGCUAACGCAUUAAGUGCCCCGCCUGGGGAGUACGGGCCGCAAGGCUGAAACUCAAAGGAAUUGACGGGGGGCCCCGCACAAGCCGGUGGGAGCAUGUGGUUUUAUUUCGACGCAACGCCGAAAAA